AACUUUUAACAAUGGAUCUCUUGGCUCCGGCGUCGAUGAAGAACGCAGCGAAAUGCGAUACGUGAUGUGAAUUGCAGAUUUUGUGAAUCAUCGAAACUUUGAACGCACAUUGCGCCUAUUGGUAAACCUUUAGGCACGUCUGUUUGAGCGUUGUUUAAAUCUCGGGCAAACCGGCUUUGGGAGUUGUGCUCUGCACAUUCCUUAAAUACCUCGGCUAGCAUUGAAGGCUAUAGCACGGCGAAACGUGUGUCCCCCUUUUGUCUAUCUGUCGAUUUACUCGUACCUCAACCUCAAAUCAGACGGGGAUACCCGCUGAACUUAAGCAUAUCAAUAAGCGGAGGCU
RNAcentral lists this unclassified non-coding RNA (343 nucleotides) under uncultured Ascomycota. RNAcentral describes it as "sequence contains ITS2". The stretch from base 1 to 153 matches the Rfam family "5.8S ribosomal RNA". The record is from RNAcentral. Lineage: Eukaryota; Fungi; Ascomycota.